RNAcentral lists this long non-coding RNA (283 nucleotides) under Marmota monax (woodchuck). The record is from RNAcentral. Lineage: Eukaryota; Metazoa; Chordata; Mammalia; Rodentia; Sciuridae.
GGUGAAGUUAAUCUUAAAAGCUAAGCCAUUGAUCCUGGUGUAAUGGUGCAGGCCUAUAAGCCCAAGGACUCAGGAGGCUGAGGCAGGAAGAUCAUAAGUUUGAGGCCAGCCUCAGCAACUUAGUGAGACCCUGUCUUAAGAAAGAAAGAAAACAUUUGAAAAUUCAUUUUGAAAAAUAAAAGAUCUAGAAUAGCCAAGCAAUUCUAAGUCAAAGAGAUAAAUGCCGGAGGCUUCACAAUAUGUGACUUCAAAUUACACUACAGAGCUGUAGUAAUAAAAACUG